GUAGGUGACCUGCGGAGGAUCAUUACCGAGUGCGGGCCCUCUGGGUCCAACCUCCCAUCCGUGUCUAUCUGUACCCUGUUGCUUCGGCGUGGCCACGGCCCGCCGAAGACUAACAUUUGAACACUGUCUGAAGUUUGCAGUCUGAGUUUUUAGUUAAACAAUAAUUAAAACUUUCAACAACGGAUCUCUUGGUUCCGGCAUCGAUGAAGAACGCAGCGAAAUGCGAUAAUUAAUGUGAAUUGCAGAAUUCAGUGAAUCAUCGAGUCUUUGAACGCACAUUGCGCCCCCUGGUAUUCCGGGGGGCAUGCCUGUCCGAGCGUCAUUGCUGCCCUCAAGCACGGCUUGUGUGUUGGGCUUCCGUCCCUGGUAACGGGGACGGGCCCAAAAGGCAGUGGCGGCACCAUGUCUGGUCCUCGAGCGUAUGGGGCUUUGUCACCCGCUCCCGUAGGUCCAGCUGGCAGCUAGCCUCGCAACCAAUCUUUUUAACCAGGUUGACCUCGGAUCAGGUAGGGAUACCCGCUGAACUUAAGCAUAUC
This 536-nucleotide ribosomal RNA is filed under the name Aspergillus pseudoglaucus. RNAcentral's name for it is "eukaryotic LSU rRNA". The stretch from base 169 to 322 matches the Rfam family "5.8S ribosomal RNA". Lineage: Eukaryota; Fungi; Ascomycota; Eurotiomycetes; Eurotiales; Aspergillaceae. The record is from RNAcentral.